RNAcentral lists this ribosomal RNA (440 nucleotides) under uncultured bacterium. RNAcentral's name for it is "partial 16S ribosomal RNA". It matches the Rfam family "Bacterial small subunit ribosomal RNA", at positions 338 to 795 of the family's 1533-position model. The record is from RNAcentral.
CCUACGGGAGGCAGCAGUAGGGAAUAUUGCUCAAUGGGGGAAACCCUGAAGCAGCAACGCCGCGUGGAGGAUGAAGGUUUUCGGAUUGUAAACUCCUUUUGUUAGAGAAGAUAAUGACGGUAUCUAACGAAUAAGCACCGGCUAACUCCGUGCCAGCAGCCGCGGUAAUACGGAGGGUGCAAGCGUUACUCGGAAGCACUGGGCGUAAAGAGAGCGUAGGCGGGAUAGCAAGUCAGAUGUGAAAUCAUAUGGCUUAACCAUAGAACUGCAUUUGAAACUGUUAUUCUAGAGUAUGGGAGAGGUAGGUGGAAUUCUUGGGUUAGGGGUAAAAUCCGUAGAGAUCAAGAGGAAUACUCAUUGCGAAGGCGACCUGCUAGAACAUAACUGACGCUGAUGCGCGAACGCGUGGGGAGCAAACAGGAUUAGAUACCCCUGUAGUC